CCUACGGGCGGCAGCAGUGGGGAAUAUUGCACAAUGGGGGGAACCCUGAUGCAGCGACGCCGCGUGAGUGAAGAAGUAUUUCGGUAUGUAAAGCUCUAUCAGCAGGGAAGAAAAUGACGGUACCUGACCAAGAAGCCCCGGCUAACUACGUGCCAGCAGCCGCGGUAAUACGUAGGGGGCAAGCGUUAUCCGGAUUUACUGGGUGUAAAGGGAGCGCAGACGGCUGUGCAAGUCAGGAGUGAAAGGCGGGGGCCCAACCCCCGGACUGCUCUGGAAACUGUAAAGCUGGAGUGCAGGAGAGGUAGGCGGAAUUCCUGGUGUAGCGGUGAAAUGCGUAGAUAUUAGGAGGAACACCAGUGGCGAAGGCGGCUUACUGGACUGCAACUGACGUUGAGGCUCGAAAGCGUGGGGAGCAAACAGGAUUAGAUACCCCAGUAGUC
This 440-nucleotide ribosomal RNA is filed under the name uncultured bacterium. RNAcentral's name for it is "partial 16S ribosomal RNA". It matches the Rfam family "Bacterial small subunit ribosomal RNA", at positions 338 to 795 of the family's 1533-position model. The record is from RNAcentral.